ACACUUGAUAAGCCACAAAAGAUGCCCAUUUUUGUCUAUAAAAUUUCCACAACAGCUAUUUACUACUGUAGCAGUCAAAUUAAGGGCCAGCGGCUGGAAACUUAAUUGUGUCUAUAGAAUUCUCAUCGAGGGGUCCAGAAAGAACAAAUAUUAUUUGAUGAACUCCUGUCUAACACUGCCAUAGAGAAGUUUAAGAGCACUCGUGGAGAUUUUCAGCACAAAGGGAAUGGAGCAGCUCAGUACCUCAGUACUGCCCACGUAUCAGCAGGAGGAACAGAUAGAGCACUGGAGAAGCAUUCUUCCUGUUCAGAAAGUCCUGAUAUUGUCCAUACUCACAAAAAAACAAACUGGUGCCUACUAAAGGAUAUCACUGAAUGGAGUCUCAUGAGCUUCAGCUGGACUUUGAAAGGAUGAAAAGAUGGGAUCAGCUGGCAUGCAGCUAUGUUUCCAAUUCGCCCGAGUCCUGAAACAAUGCAGGUGAUCAUCCUUGUUCUCUGGUCCUGGCUCACUCUCUGCCCUGCUCAGAGUUAUGGCUAUGCUGACAACCCCGGGUGAGUUACGUC
This 563-nucleotide long non-coding RNA is filed under the name Struthio camelus australis. RNAcentral's name for it is "lncRNA (ENSSCUG00000014898.1)". Lineage: Eukaryota; Metazoa; Chordata; Aves; Struthioniformes; Struthionidae. The record is from RNAcentral.